AUGAGGCUGUGUCUCUGCCUCCAGGUGCUGAUACUGGACGAGCCCACCUCGGGCAUGGAUGCCAUCUCCAGGAGGGCCAUCUGGGACCUUCUGCAACAGCAGAAAAGUAACCGCACCAUCUUGCUGACCACCCACUUCAUGGACGAGGCUGACCUGCUGGGAGACCGCAUCGCCAUCAUGGCCAAGGGGGAGCUGCAGUGCUGCGGGUCCUCACUGUUCCUCAAGCAGAAAUACAGGCCUCAGGAAAUGUUUACUGAAUGAGUACAUCAACGAACAAUAGUAACAAGUGUUGCUAAGUGCUGAAAGAAUUUGGAAUGCCA
Molecule: long non-coding RNA, 320 nt
Filed under: Macaca nemestrina (pig-tailed macaque)
Lineage: Eukaryota; Metazoa; Chordata; Mammalia; Primates; Cercopithecidae
Description: lncRNA (ENSMNEG00000045859.1)
Source: RNAcentral